GCGGGAGUGGCGGAACUGGCAGACGCGCUAGACUUAGGAUCUAGUGGGUAACACCGUGGGGGUUCGAGUCCCUUCUCCCGCA
RNAcentral lists this transfer RNA (82 nucleotides) under Clostridia bacterium. RNAcentral's name for it is "tRNA-Leu". It matches the Rfam family "tRNA". From Rfam's summary of the family: Transfer RNA (tRNA) molecules are approximately 80 nucleotides in length. Their secondary structure includes four short double-helical elements and three loops (D, anti-codon, and T loops). Further hydrogen bonds mediate the characteristic L-shaped molecular structure. tRNAs have two regions of fundamental functional importance: the anti-codon, which is responsible for specific mRNA codon recognition, and the 3' end, to which the tRNAs corresponding amino acid is attached (by aminoacyl-tRNA synthetases). tRNAs cope with the degeneracy of the genetic code in two manners: having more than one tRNA (with a specific anti-codon) for a particular amino acid; and 'wobble' base-pairing, i.e. permitting non-standard base-pairing at the 3rd anti-codon position. Lineage: Bacteria; Bacillati; Bacillota; Clostridia. The record is from RNAcentral.